RNAcentral lists this ribosomal RNA (776 nucleotides) under uncultured bacterium. RNAcentral's name for it is "bacterial SSU rRNA". It matches the Rfam family "Bacterial small subunit ribosomal RNA", at positions 8 to 796 of the family's 1533-position model. The record is from RNAcentral.
AGAGUUUGAUCAUGGCUCAGGAUGAACGCUAGCGGCAGGCCUAAUACAUGCAAGUCGAACGCCCAGCAAUGGGAGUGGCGCACGGGUGCGUAACGCGUAUGCAACCUACCUUAAACUGGGGGAUAGCCUUCCGAAAGGAAGAUUAAUACCCCAUAGUAUCACGAGAGGGCAUCUGAUUGUGAUUAAAGAUUUAUCGGUUUAAGAUGGGCAUGCGUGACAUUAGCUAGUUGGUAAGGUAACGGCUCACCAAGGCUACGAUGUCUAGGGGUUCUGAGAGGAUGAUCCCCCACACUGGUACUGAGAUACGGACCAGACUCCUACGGGAGGCAGCAGUAGGGAAUAUUGGGCAAUGGACGAGAGUCUGACCCAGCCAUGCCGCGUGCAGGAAGAAGGCCUUCUGGGUUGUAAACUGCUUUUAUCAGGGAAGAAAACGCUCCUGCGGGAGUAACUGACGGUACCUGGUGAAUAAGCACCGGCUAACUCCGUGCCAGCAGCCGCGGUAAUACGGAGGGUGCAAGCGUUGUCCGGAUUUAUUGGGUUUAAAGGGUGCGUAGGCGGCUUAUUAAGUCAGUGGUGAAAGCCAACAGCUCAACUGUUGAACUGCCAUUGAUACUGAUAAGCUUGAGUACAGACGAGGUAGGCGGAAUUGAAGAUGUAGCGGUGAAAUGCAUAGAUAUCUUCAAGAACACCGAUUGCGUAGGCAGCUUACUAGGCUGUAACUGACGCUGAGGCACGAAAGCGUGGGGAGCGAACAGGAUUAGAUACCCUAGUAGUCC